AGAGUUUGAUCAUGGCUCAGAGCGAACGCUGGCGGCGUACUUAACACAUGCAAGUCGAACGAGGAUCAUCCGUGUAGCAAUACAUUGGUGGUCCUAGUGGCGCACGGGUGAGUAACACGUGGGUGACCUGCCCUAGAGCUCGGGAUACCCCCUCGAAAGGGGGGCUAAUACCGGAUACGUUCCUUGGUCGAAAGAUCGGGGAGGAAAGGUGGCGCAAGCUGCCGCUCUUGGAGGGGCUCGCGGCCUAUCAGCUAGUUGGCGGGGUAACGGCCCACCAAGGCUAUGACGGGUAGCUGGUCUGAGAGGACGACCAGCCACACGGGGACUGAGACACGGCCCCGACUCCUACGGGAGGCAGCAGUGGGGAAUUUUCCGCAAUGGGCGAAAGCCUGACGGAGUGACGCCGCGUGUGGGACGAAGGCCUUCGGGUCGUAAACCACUGUCAGUGGGAAAGAUGGGUGUCGGGGCUAAUACCUCCGGCAUCUGACGGUACCUGCAGAGGAAGCCCCGGCCAACUCUGUGCCAGCCGCCGCGGUAAUAC
This 541-nucleotide ribosomal RNA is filed under the name uncultured bacterium. Its description in RNAcentral is "bacterial SSU rRNA". It matches the Rfam family "Bacterial small subunit ribosomal RNA", at positions 8 to 526 of the family's 1533-position model. The record is from RNAcentral.